CUGCCCAGUGAAAAACAUUCAACGGCCGCGGUAUCCUAACCGUGCAAAGGUAGCAUAAUCAUUUGCCUAUUAAUUGUAGGAUAGAAUGAACGGAUAAACGAAAUAGAACCUGUCUCAAUCAGUAUGCUAAAAAUUAACAUUUACAUGAAGAGGUGUAAAUAAAAUCGAAGGACAAGAAGACCCUAUAGAGCUUUAUUUUUACGUAUAUAUAAUACCUACAAAUUCGGUUGGGGCGACCAAGGAAAUAUAUAACAUCCUUAAAAUAAAGAUUUAUUAAUCAAUAAAAUGACCCUUUUUUAGAUCAAAAGACCAAGCUACCUUAGGGAUAACAGGCUAAUCUCAUUAAAGAGUUCCUAUCAAUAAUGAGGUUUGGCACCUCGAUGUUGGCUUAGGGUAUCGAUAUAGCGCAAAAGUUAUACAUGGCUGGUUUGUUCAACCAAUAAUUCCCU
This 449-nucleotide ribosomal RNA is filed under the name Diplotrema sp. 904. RNAcentral's name for it is "partial 16S ribosomal RNA". It matches the Rfam family "Bacterial large subunit ribosomal RNA", at positions 1859 to 2597 of the family's 2925-position model. The record is from RNAcentral. Lineage: Eukaryota; Metazoa; Annelida; Clitellata; Crassiclitellata; Megascolecidae.